RNAcentral lists this small RNA (77 nucleotides) under Flavobacterium aquatile LMG 4008 = ATCC 11947. RNAcentral describes it as "Flavobacterium aquatile LMG 4008 Flavo-1 RNA". It matches the Rfam family "Flavo-1 RNA". Lineage: Bacteria; Pseudomonadati; Bacteroidota; Flavobacteriia; Flavobacteriales; Flavobacteriaceae. The record is from Rfam by way of RNAcentral.
AAUUAGCCCCGAUUGCAAUGAAAAUCUCUUCUCGUUGUAAAAACGUGAAGAGAUUGCAAUGGAAAGCGGGAAAAUGG